UAGUCAUAUGCUUGUCCCAAAGAUUAAGCCAUGCAAGUGCAAGUAUAAACCAAAAAAGGGUGAAACUGCGAAAGGCUCAUUAAAUCAGUAAUAAUUUACGUGAUGAAGAAAGAUUACAUGGAUAACCGUGGUAAUUCUAGGGCUAAUACAUGCAGAGAGGGAGACCUCAAAAGUAUUUAUUAGAUAAAAACCAGCAAAAAAAGGGGAAACAUAAUAACUAGACAGAUCGUAUGGCCACGAGCCGACGACGCAUCACACAAAUAUCUGCCCUAUCAACUGUUGAUGGUAGGAUAGAGGCCUACCAUGGUGUUGACGGGUAACGGGGAAUUGGGGUUCGAUUCCGGAGAGGGAGCCUGAGAAAUGGCUACCAUUUCCAAGGAAGGCAGCAGGCGCGCAAAUUACCCAAUCCCGACACGGGGAGGUAGUGACAGGAAAUAACGAUGCUGAGCUGUAAAGGUUUGGCAAUUGGAAUGAGAAAAAUGUAAAGGAUAUAACGAGUAACGAUU
Molecule: ribosomal RNA, 506 nt
Filed under: uncultured eukaryote
Lineage: Eukaryota
Description: bacterial SSU rRNA
Rfam family: Eukaryotic small subunit ribosomal RNA
Source: RNAcentral